This 800-nucleotide ribosomal RNA is filed under the name Staphylococcus haemolyticus. Its description in RNAcentral is "bacterial SSU rRNA". It matches the Rfam family "Bacterial small subunit ribosomal RNA", at positions 173 to 957 of the family's 1533-position model. Lineage: Bacteria; Bacillati; Bacillota; Bacilli; Caryophanales; Staphylococcaceae. The record is from RNAcentral.
AUAUUUCGAACCGCAUGGUUCGAUAGUGAAAGAUGGUUUUGCUAUCACUUAUAGAUGGACCCGCGCCGUAUUAGCUAGUUGGUAAGGUAACGGCUUACCAAGGCGACGAUACGUAGCCCACCUGAGAGGGUGAUCGGCCACACUGGAACUGAGACACGGUCCAGACUCCUACGGGAGGCAGCAGUAGGGAAUCUUCCGCAAUGGGCGAAAGCCUGACGGAGCAACGCCCCGUGAGUGAUGAAGGUCUUCGGAUCGUAAAACUCUGUUAUUAGGGAAGAACAUACGUGUAAGUAACUAUGCACGUCUUGACGGUACCUAAUCAGAAAGCCACGGCUAACUACGUGCCAGCAGCCGCGGUAAUACGUAGGUGGCAAGCGUUAUCCGGAAUUAUUGGGCGUAAAGCGCGCGUAGGCGGUUUUUUAAGUCUGAUGUGAAAGCCCACGGCUCAACCGUGGAGGGUCAUUGGAAACUGGAAAACUUGAGUGCAGAAGAAGAAAGUGGAAUUCCAUGUGUAGCGGUGAAAUGCGCAGAAGAUAUGGAGGAACACCAGUGGCGAAAGCGACUUUCUGGUCUGUAACUGACACUUAAUAUGCGAAAGCGUGGGGAUCAAACAAGAUUAGAUACCCUGGUAGUCCACGCCCUAAACGAUGAGUGCUAAAUGUUAAGGGGGUUUCCGCCCCUUAAUGCUGCAGCUAACGCAUUAAGCACUCCCCCUGGGGAGUACAACCACCAAGGUUGAAACUCAAAAAAAUUUACGGGGACCCGCCCCACCCCGGGAGCAAGUGGUGUUAUUUCUAAAC